This 506-nucleotide ribosomal RNA is filed under the name uncultured bacterium. RNAcentral describes it as "partial 16S ribosomal RNA". It matches the Rfam family "Bacterial small subunit ribosomal RNA", at positions 29 to 523 of the family's 1533-position model. The record is from RNAcentral.
AGUGAACGCUGGCGGUAGGCCUAACACAUGCAAGUCGAACGGCAGCACAGGAGAGCUUGCUCUCUGGGUGGCGAGUGGCGGACGGGUGAGGAAUACAUCGGAAUCUUCUCUGUCGGGGGGGAUAACGUAGGGAAACUUACGCUAAUACCGCAUACGACCUACGGGUGAAAGCAGGGGAUCUUCGGACCUUGCGCGAUUGAAUGAGCCGAUGUCGGAUUAGCUAGUUGGCGGGGUAAAGGCCCACCAAGGCGACGAUCCGUCGCUGGUCUGAGAGGAUGAUCAGCCACACUGGAACUGAGACACGGUCCAGACUCCUACGGGAGGCAGCAGUGGGGAAUAUUGGACAAUGGGCGCAAGCCUGUUCCAGCCAUACCGCGUGGGUGAAGAAGGCCUUCGGGUUGUAAAGCCCUUUUGUUGGGAAAGAAAUCCAGCUGGCUAAUACCCGGUUGGGAUGACGGUACCCAAAGAAUAAGCACCGGCUAACUUCGUGCCAGCCGCCGCCGUAA